Oleoguttula mirabilis is the source of this 125-nucleotide non-coding RNA. The record is from the annotation of a GenBank genome assembly. Lineage: Eukaryota; Fungi; Ascomycota; Dothideomycetes; Mycosphaerellales; Teratosphaeriaceae.
GCCCGGAUAGUUUAACGGUCAGAACAUGGGUCUCAUAUUUCGGUAUGAUCGAGCUUAGCUCGAAUGACCUCUUUGGUUAUCCUCGUUGAUAUCCCAAGAUCUGAGUUCGAUUCUCAGUCCAGGCA